This 407-nucleotide ribosomal RNA is filed under the name uncultured bacterium. Its description in RNAcentral is "partial 16S ribosomal RNA". It matches the Rfam family "Bacterial small subunit ribosomal RNA", at positions 30 to 526 of the family's 1533-position model. The record is from RNAcentral.
AUUGAACGCUGGCGGCAGGCCUAACACAUGCAAGUCGAGCGGAGCGGCGGACGGGCGAGUAAUGACUAGGAAUCUGCCUGGUAGUGGGGGAUAACGUACGGAAACGGGCGCUAAUACAGCAUACUAUUAGAUGAGCCUUGGUCGGGUUCGCUAGUUGGUGGGGUAAAGGCCUACCAAGGCGAAGAUCCGUAACUGGGCUGAGAGGAUGAUCAGUCACACGGGACCUGGGACACGGUCCAGACUCCUACGGGAGGCAGCAGUGGGGAAUAUUGGACAAUGGGCGAAAGCCUGAUCCAGCCAUGCCGCGUGUGUGAAGAAGGUUUUCGGAGUUUAAAGCACUUUAAGUUGGGAGGCGUUACCUAAAGAAUAAGCACCGGCUAACUUCGUGCCAGCAGCCGCGGUAAUUC